UNCAACCCAGUGACAGUAGCUGCCAUUUUGCC
This 32-nucleotide non-coding RNA is filed under the name Mus musculus (house mouse). The record is from RNAcentral. Lineage: Eukaryota; Metazoa; Chordata; Mammalia; Rodentia; Muridae.